RNAcentral lists this transfer RNA (74 nucleotides) under Patescibacteria group bacterium. RNAcentral describes it as "tRNA-Trp". It matches the Rfam family "tRNA". From Rfam's summary of the family: Transfer RNA (tRNA) molecules are approximately 80 nucleotides in length. Their secondary structure includes four short double-helical elements and three loops (D, anti-codon, and T loops). The record is from RNAcentral.
GCGGGUGUCGUAUAGUGGUAGUACGACGGUCUCCAAAACCGUUGGCGGGAGUUCGAUUCUCUCCACCCGUGCCA